This 423-nucleotide ribosomal RNA is filed under the name uncultured bacterium. RNAcentral's name for it is "bacterial SSU rRNA". It matches the Rfam family "Bacterial small subunit ribosomal RNA", at positions 207 to 622 of the family's 1533-position model. The record is from RNAcentral.
AAGACCUUGCACUUUUGGAGCGGCCGAUGUCUGACUAGCUAGUUGGUGGAGUAAUGGCCUACCAAAGCUUCGAUCAGUAGCUGGUCUGAGAGGACAGCCAGCCACACUGGGACUGAGACACGGCCCAGACUCCUACGGGAGGCAGCAGUGGGGAAUUUUGGACAAUGGGCGCAAGCCUGAUCCAGCCAUGCCGCGUGAGUGAAGAAGGCCUUCGGGUUGUAAAGCUCUUUCAGUCGGGAAGAAAAGGUUGCGACUAAUAAUCGCAAUUCAUGACGGUACCGGAAGAAGAAGCACCGGCUAACUACGUGCCAGCAGCCGCGGUAAUACGUAGGGUGCGAGCGUUAAUCGGAAUUACUGGGCGUAAAGGGUGCGCAGGCGGUUUUGUAAGUCAGAUGUGAAAUCCCCGGGCUUAACCUGGGAACU